AGUCAUGAUCUGGUUUUGAAGAGUCAAGCAUUUGUUGUUCUGCAGAGAGCUACAGAGUACUUGGACGUGACUAACUUCAUAGAGGGUGUGCAGUAGUACUGGUUGAUUUCAGGAACAAUGGCAGUCUGGCCUCUUUGUCUGUCUUUCUUUCUGCUCUUUGCUCUGGAUGCUUCAGAGGCAACACCUCUUAAUGGCACAAGCAAUGAGACAGCACUUCUUACUGGCAUAAGCGAUGGUGAGAUAUUUUAGUGUGUUACAUUUGUUCUGUCUAGUUGUAGUGACAAAAGCAGGGUCGUCACUGGUGAAAGGUGGUGAUGAUUAUAGGGACCCACGGCUGUGGACAGAGCUCAAACACUGAACUGAGUUCUCCAUCUGCACCUGAGUGAACAAAAACAUAAACAUACAAACACAAAAAGAGAUGAAAAGCUUAAUUCAGCAUCAGUGCGCUGUGUUCUGUGCACACAGAGAGCCACGUCUCAGCCCUUCAACACCAAAUUGAGUUUUGCCUCUUCUUGCUCUUGAACGGACAAAUGCAUAAAAUAUUAUGUUGUACCUGUCUUGGCGGUCGGUUACCUCUUAAGUGAAUGUAAACUGUUGAGAAAGAAAUCAGAUGGAUUGUCUCUUAAAGUGACUGCACCUAAUUUAGCAGCUGCUGUCGAUGUCCUUAUUUUAAUCCAAGAAAUCUAAUGAGAGAAAAUCUCUCACUGC
Carassius carassius (crucian carp) is the source of this 708-nucleotide long non-coding RNA. RefSeq lists it as uncharacterized. NCBI's taxonomy places the organism in Eukaryota, Metazoa, Chordata, Actinopteri, Cypriniformes, Cyprinidae. The transcript is spliced from 4 exons. The record is from RefSeq and is a predicted model, not a curated record.